GUUGCCAAUGCAGGAGGAUUGCUUGAGCCCAGGAGUUUGAGACCAGCCUGGGCAGAAUAGCAAGACUCCAUCUCUGCAAAUAAUAAAAUAUUAACCAGGUGUGGUGGUGCGCACCUGGGGUCCCAGCUACCUGGGAGGCUAAGGUGGGAGGUUUGCUUGAGGCUUCAGUGAACUGUGAAUGCACCACUGCAUUCCAGCCUAGGCCACAGAACAGGACCUUGUUUAUAAAUAAAGAAAUAAGUAAAAAUAUAAAUAAAAAGUAAAAAUAACUAUAAGUAAAUAUAAAUAUAAAAAUGCAUACAUGAAAAGAAACAAUUUUUAAAUUUAACAUCACUGAGGGCAUCCUAUCCAUUUCAUUUCAUGAUUCCAUUACAUCAUUUCACUUAGAUGAAAUGAUGAGAUGAAAUGAUGAGAUGAAAUGACGAAAUGAUGAGAUGAGAUGAUGAGAUGAAAUUUUGAGAUGAAAUGGUGAGUAGAAAUGAUGAGAUGAAAUGAUGAGACGAAAUGACAAAAUUGAAAAGAAAUUGAAAGGAGAGGAGAUGAGAUAAAAUGAGAUGAAAUGAGAUGAUGGAUGAAAUGAGAUGAAACGAGAUGAAAUGAAAUAAUGAAAUGAUAUGAAAUAAUGAAAUUGUAAUGAGAUGAUAUGAGAUGAAAUAAUGAGAUAAAAUGAUGAGAUGAGAUGAACGAUGAGAUGAAAUGAUGAAAUGAAAUGAGAUGAAAAAUGAUGAGAUGAAAAAUGAGAUGAAAUGAAAUAAUGAAAUGAGAUGAAAUGAAAUGAAAUAAUGAAAGGAAAUUAUGAAAUGUAAUGAUGAAAUUGAAAUGAGAUGAGUUGAAAUGAUGAGAUGUAAUGGUGAAAUGAAAUGAUGAAAUGAGAUGAGAUGAAAUGAGAUGAAAUAAUGAGAUGAAAUGAGAUAAUGAGAUGAGAUGAAAUCAUGAGAUGAAAUGAUGAAAUGAAAUGAAAUGAUGGAUGAAAUUAUGAGAUGAAAGAUGAAAUGUAAUGAGAUGAAAUGAAAUGACAUAAUGAAAUGAAAUAAUGAAAUGAGAUGAAAUAAAAUAAUGAAAUGAUGAAAUAAUGAAAUGAAAAUGAAAUGGAAAUGAUGAGAUGAGAAGAAAUGAUGAGAUGAAAUGAUGAAAUGAUGAGAUGAGAUAAAAUGAGAUGAAAUGGUGAGAUGAGAUGAAAUAUGAUGAGAUGAAAUGACAUAAUGAAUGAAAUGAUGAAAUGGAAUAAUGAAAUGGAAAUGAUGAGCUGAGAUGCAAUGAGUUGAAAUGAGAUGAAAUGAUGAAAUGAUGAGAUGAAAUGAUGAGAUGAGAUGUGAUGAAAUGAUGACAUGAAAUGAUGACAUAAAAUGAGAUGAAAUGAGAUGUAAUGAUGGAAUGAGAUGAGAUGAAAUGAGAUGAAAUGAUAGAUGAGAUAAAAUGAUAUGAAAUGAUGAGAUGAAUGAUGAGAUGAUGAGAUGAAUGAUGAAAUGAAAUGAUGAGAUGAGAUGAUGAAAUGAAAUGGUGAGAUGAAAUGAGAUGAAAUGAAAUAAUGAAAUGAAAUUGAAAUAAAAUCGAAAUGAGAUGAGAUGAAAUGAUGAGAUGAUGAAAUAAAAUGAUGAAAUGAUGAGGUGAUGAGAUGAAAUGAUGAGAUGAAAUGAUGAGAUGAGAUGACAUGAAAUAAUGAAACGAAAUUGAAAUGAGAUAAGAUACGAGAUGAGAUGAAAUGAUGAGAUGAAAUGAAAUGAUGAGAUAAGAUGAAAAGAGUUGAUGAGAUGAUGAGAUGAAAUGAGAUGAAAAGAUGAAAUGAUGAGAUGAAAUGAUGAGAUGAAAUGAGGUGAAAUGAAAUUAGAUGAAAUGUAAUGAGAUGAAAUGAAAUGACAAUGAAAUGAAAAAAUGAAAUGAAAUAAUGAAAUGAGGUGAAAUUAAAUGAGAUGAUGAAAUUAAAUGAUGAAAUGAAAUAAUGAAAUGGAAAUGAUGAGAUGAAAUGAGAUGAAUGAUGAGAUGAAAUGAUGAGAUGCAAUGAUGAGAUGAAAUGAUGAGAUGAGAUGUAAUGAUGAGAGGAAAUGAGAUGUAAUGAAAUGAGAUGAAAUGAAUGAGAUGAAAUGAAAUAAUGAAAUUGAAUUGAGAUAUGAGAUGAAAUGAGAUAAAAUGAGAUGAAAUAAAUGAUGAGAUGAAAUGAUGAAAUGCUGAGGUGAGAUGAAACGAUGAGAUGAAAUGAAAGGAUGAGAUGAAAUGAUGAGGUGAGAUGAGAUGAAAUGAGAUGAAACGAGAUGAAAUGAUGAAAUGAGAUGAGAUGAGAAGAAAUGAUUUGAUGCAAUGAGAUGAGAUAAAGUGAUGAGAUGAAAUGAAAUGAAGUGAAAUGAAAUAAUGAAAUGAAAUUGAAAUGAGAUGAGAUGAAAUGAGAUAAAAUGAGAUGAAAUGAGAAGAAAUGAGAUGAAAUGAUGAAAUGAGAUGAUGAGAUGAAAAAUGAGAUGAAUUGAAAUGAAAUGAAAUAAUGAAAUAAUGAAGUGAAAUGAAAUGAUGAAUUGAUGAUAUUGAAAUGAAAUUGAAAGAUGAGAUGAAAUGAUGAGAUGAAAUGAAAUGUUGAAAUGAUGAAGAGAUGUGACAUGAAAUGAGCUGAAAUGAGAUGAAAUGAAAUGAGAUUAAAUGAUGAGAUGAAAAAUGAUGAGAUGAAAAAUGAGAUGAAAUGAUGAGAUGAGAUGAGAUGAAUUGAGAUGAGAUGAGAUGAAAUAAUGAAAUUAGGUGAAAUAAUGAAAUGAGAUGAAAUAACGAAAUAAAAUUGAAAUGAGAUGAGAGGAAAUGAGAUGAAAUGUUGAAAAGAAAGGAGGAAAUGAUGAGGUGAGAUGAAAUGAUGAGAUGAAAUGAAUUGAGAUGAAAUGAGAUGAAAAAUGAUACGAAAAAUGAUAUAAAAAAUAUGACAUGAGAUGAAAUGAGAUGAAAAAUGAUACGAAAAAUGAUAUAAAAAAUAUGACAUGAAAUGAAAUGAGAUGAUAUGAAAUGACAUAAUGAAAUAAAUGAAAUUACAUGAAAUGAAAUGAAAUAGUGAAAUGAAAUGAUGAAAUAAUGAAAAUGAAAUGGAAAUGAGAUGAGAUGAGAUUUGAUGAAAUGAUGAGAUGAAAUGAUGAGAUGAUAUGAAAUGAUGAGAUGAGAUGGGAUAAGAUGAAAUGAGAUGAAAUGAUGAGGUGAAGUGAUGCACUGUCAUGUGUGUGUCUUUUUCCCAACCAACAAAAAUUAUAAUUCAUUAAUUUUAUUAUUUAAGAAUAUUCUUAAGAGUUGAAGGAAAAAUAAUAUCUGUACAUUAUGGGUUACAAUUAAGUAUAAAUAAUACAUAAAUAUAUUAAAACUUACAAAGAAUAUGUUUCGGAAUCGAAUAUACCAUGCUUCUGUGAUGACAGUUAUUUCAUGCUGGUUGUCACAAUUUUACAUGAAAAACUAAUGAAACAAUGUUUUUAACUGUUUCUAAAAAUAACAGUUUCCAAAACAGUUUUACAUUCAAAAUAUGAAAAAGAUGUCUUUGUGUUCCUUAAUCUGAUGAGAUUUUCACACUCUGCACAUGAUAAUUGUUAGAUUUUUAUUGUGUUGAUAAAUUGUAUAUCAAAUAAAAAAUGUUAUUACCUCUUAAAUUAGGAUUUUUAGGUGAUAUAGGCAGAAAGGAAGGCAAGUUUUUAUAACUUUGUCUAAAUGAACUUUCUAAAUGCCUGAGUAUUAAAAGAUAGCAUGUCUAUAAAUGACAAUGUAUAUAUUACUGUAUGACCUAGGACCAAUCAAAACCGUUACCUCUGAUAACAUUAUAUUGUGCCCAGUAUAAAAUAGAUAUAAUAAUACCUCAAACUUAAAUCCAGGCAUUGUCAUUGAAUAUGUUAAGAAUAUGCAGCAAAGGUGCUUUUAAAAAUACAAGCUAGUGAUUGUACUAAAUUUGUAAAUCACAUAGGAUAGUGGGUCAUUUUAAGAAUAUUAUUUCAAUCUAUAAACGUGGAUGUCUUUGCUUUUUUAUGUUUUCUUUAAUUUCUUUCAUUAAUAUUUGUCAUUUUUGUUGUCGAAAUCUUUUACUUGGUUAAAUUUAUUUCUAAGUACAUUUUUGUAGCUAUUGUAAAAGGAAUUGCUUUCUUAAUUUCUUGUUUCAGCUAGUUUACUAUCAAUAUAUAGAAAUGCUACUGAUUUUUGUAUGUUGAUUUAUAUCCUGCAACUUUAUUAAUUUCAUGUAUCACCCUGAGAAGCUUUUGGUAGAGUCUUAUUUUUUUCCAUGUAUAAGAUCACAUUGUCUUUAAACAAGGACAAUUUGACUGUCUCCUUUCCAAUUCAGAUGUCCUUUAUUUCUUUCUCUCACCUAAUUGUCCUGGCUAAGACUUUCACUAUGUGAAAUAUGAUUGGUGAGAAUAGGCAUCCUUUUCUUGUUCCAGUAAAAUCUUUUUCUUGUUCACAGUAAAAUCUUUCACCUUUUCCACACUCAGUAUGAUCUUAGCUGUAGAUUUGUCCUUUAUGUCCUUUGUGUUAAGGCAUAUAUUUUCUAUACUAAAUUGUUGAGAAGUUUUUUGUCAUGUAAGAAUAUUUAAUUUUGCCAAACGCUUUUAUUGUGUUUAUUAAUUUAAUCAUAUGGUUUUCAGUAUAUAUCCAAAGGAAAGAAAAUCAGUAUAUCAAAGAGUUACCUGCACCCCCAUGUUUAUUACAGCACUAUUCACAAUAGCCAAGAUAUGGAAUCAACAAAAGUGUCCAUCAACAGAUGAAUGGAUAAAGAAAUGUGACAUACAUAUAUAAUGGAAUAUUAUUUAGUCAUAAUAAAGAACAAAAUCCUGUUGUUUGUGGCAACAAGAAUGCAAGUGGAGGGCAUUAUGUUAGGUGAAAUAAGCCUGGCAUAGAAAUAUAAACACCACAUAACUACGUGUUCUCACUUAUGUAUGGAAGCUAAAAUUUUUAAUCUCGUAGAAGUAGAUAGUAGAGUUUUGGUUACCAUAUCCUGGAAAGAGUAGGAGAAAGAAGAGUAUAAGAAAAAUGUGCUUAAUACAUACAAAAUUACAGCUGGAGAGAAGGAAGAAGUUCUAGUUCUCUACAGCACUGUUGGGUGACUGUAGUUAAUGGGAAUUUAUUGUGUGUUUUCAAAUAACUAAAAGAAAAGAUUUUGAAUAUUCUCACUGCAAAGAAAUAAUACAUGAUUUAGGUAAUGGAUAUGAUAAUGACUCUGACUUGAUCUUUACGCAUUGCAUAAAUAUAUCAAAAUAUCACUCUGUACCCCAUAACAUGUACAUUUAUUGUAUGUCAAUUAAAGUAAAUUUAAAAGAGAAAAAAUGAGGUAAAGGUAAAUGUACAGAAUUUAAUUACUUUUUCUUCUAUAAAACCCGAGUCAGUACCAAGAAGAGUCAAUUUAUUAGUUUUCUAAAAUAAAAAAAAUCAAAAUCACCAAAAAAGAGCAAUAUCCAAGAAAACAUUGAAAAGGAAACACAACAUUUAGUAAGAAUAGAAAACUUGGGCACUGUAUCACCCUGUUCCUAGAUACCGAUUUACUGAUGGCCAUUUAAAUAGAAUUUUAUUCUAUCUAAUUCAUUUAUACUCCCAGAGUUUGAAAUUACAUUUUACCUACAAUAAAUGAGAUAACACUUGUAAAUUAUAUGGUACUCUGCCUAACACACGUUAAUAACUCAAUAGAUGUUAGCAAUAAACUUUUACUAUAGUAGUCAAAGUAUUAAUUUCUCACAUUGCAAUUUCCUUCAAAGACAUAAAUACAACCUUUCUAAUGACUCCUUGUUCAUCAAGAUACCUCUUCAAAUUAUUCUAUUUGUUUCAUUCAGUAUAUUAUCUGUGUAUACCGAUAUUACACUCUUUUCUUUUUUUGAGAUGGAAUCUCAUUCUGUUACUGAUGCUGGAGUGAGGUGGCAUGAUCUCGGUUCACUGCAACCUCCACCUCCCAGGUUCAAGCGAUUCUCCUGUCUCAGCCCCCCAAGUAGCUAGGACUACAGGUGCACACCACCAUGCCUGGCUAAUUUUUGUAUUUUUAGUACAGUCAGAGUUUCACCCUGUUGUCCAGGCCGGACUCGAACUCCUGACCUCAGGUGAUCCACCCACCAUGGCCUCCCAAAGUGCUGGGAUUACAGGCAUAAGCCACC
RNAcentral lists this long non-coding RNA (6077 nucleotides) under Homo sapiens (human). The record is from RNAcentral. Lineage: Eukaryota; Metazoa; Chordata; Mammalia; Primates; Hominidae.